GAUGAACGCUAGCUACAGGCUUAACACAUGCAAGUCGCGGGGCAGCAUGGGGGUUGCUUGCAACCCCUGAUGGCGACCGGCGCACGGGUGAGUAGCGCGUAUCCAACCUGCCCUUCACCACGGGAUAACCCGGCGAAAGUCGGACUAAUACCGUAUGUUGUCCAUUGACGGCAUCCGAUUUGGAUGCAAGGGUUGGCGGUGAACGGGUGGGGAUUCGUCGGAUUAGCUUGGCGGCGGGGUAACGGCCCACCGUGGCUACGAUCGGCAGGGGUUCUGAGAGGAAGGGCCCCCACACUGGAACUGAGACACGGGCCAGACUCCUACGGGAGGCAGCAGUGAGGAAUAUAGGACAAGGGGCGUAAGCCUGAACCAGCCAAGUAGCGUGCAGGAUGACGGCCCUAGGGGUGGUAAACUGCUUGUAGGCGGGGAUAAAGUGGCCCACGGGUGGGCUUUUGCAGGUACCGCAUGAAUAAGGACCGGCUAAUUCCGUG
This 491-nucleotide ribosomal RNA is filed under the name uncultured bacterium. RNAcentral describes it as "partial 16S ribosomal RNA". It matches the Rfam family "Bacterial small subunit ribosomal RNA", at positions 28 to 507 of the family's 1533-position model. The record is from RNAcentral.